This 430-nucleotide ribosomal RNA is filed under the name uncultured bacterium. RNAcentral's name for it is "bacterial SSU rRNA". It matches the Rfam family "Bacterial small subunit ribosomal RNA", at positions 29 to 506 of the family's 1533-position model. The record is from RNAcentral.
AUUAACGCUGGCGGUGUGUCUAAUACAUGCAAGUCGUGCGCCCCGCAAGGGGAGCGGCGGACGGGUGAGUAACACGUUGAAACCUGCCCUAAACUCAAGGAUAACUCCGCGAAAGCGGAGCUAAUACCGGAUGGUCCCGAAAGGGUAAAGCGCAAGCGGUUUAGGAGGGGUCUGCGGCCUAUCAGCUAGUUGGUAAGGUAAUGGCUUACCAAGGCUAUGACGGGUAGCUGGUCUGAGAGGAUGAUCAGUCACAAUGGAACUGAGAUACGGUCCAUACUCCUACGGGAGGCAGCAGUAGGGAAUCUUUCGCAAUGGGCGCAAGCCUGACGAAGCAACACCGCGUGAUCGAUGAAGUUCUUAUGAAUGUAAAGAUCUUUUCUGGGGGAAGAAUUUUGACUGUACCCUAGGAAUAAGCACCGGCUAACUCCGU